Long non-coding RNA from Psammomys obesus (fat sand rat), 250 nucleotides. RefSeq lists it as uncharacterized. The record is from RefSeq and is a predicted model, not a curated record. Lineage: Eukaryota; Metazoa; Chordata; Mammalia; Rodentia; Muridae. The transcript has 3 exons.
AGUCUGCUCACACACUUCUGUCUGUUUGCCAGUGGUCACAGGUGGGCCUCUCCACCUGGUGUUCUGUGCAGGUGUCUGCUCUGUGACUUCCUGCCGUGACCCCACUGUAAUCUGGACGUGUGAGCCAAAGGAAACCCUUUGUCCCUGGGAAGGAAGGAGGGACAAAUAAGCUCAUGUUUAACAAAAGGGAAGAAAAAUAAAAACCCUAAAUAUUCAAGAAUAAGGAUGUAAAGAUGCUGCACAGAAGACC